This 4978-nucleotide long non-coding RNA is filed under the name Oryzias sinensis (Chinese medaka). RNAcentral's name for it is "lncRNA (ENSOSIG00000001239.1)". Lineage: Eukaryota; Metazoa; Chordata; Actinopteri; Beloniformes; Adrianichthyidae. The record is from RNAcentral.
AACGUAUGCCCAACCAGGUGUGUUUUUAUAGUUCUGCUGUGUUGCUAGGGAGUCUGUGACGCAUCAAAUGGCAGGAAAAGGUGCUUCUACAGACUGAGAGGGCAGAGCUUCCCCUUCGUGCACACAAAUCUGAAAAUCAGCUUGACAGCAGACGACAGCAGGCUUCGGCUCAUCAUGCAACUAAACCGCAACUGUGGCAUGGUAAAGCUCACUUCACAUGCACCCUCCAGCUAUUCUAUUGCAGAAGUUUGUCGUGCGAGCUCGAUGUUGACAUUGUUUCCAUCCGUGCAGCUUCUGGACGAGCCCGCGUUUGUGAAACUGCUGCAGCAUGUGGUCAUCUCUGGAUCAGGGCUGUUUGUUUUCAGACUGACAGUGACGGAAGUGGCAACGGUAUCAAGAUCUGCUUCAUUAAAGGCCUGAAGCGACACACACAUCAAAGGAGAAUUGAAGUCAGAGUUCUUCUUGUUCAUUUUCAUUUUCAUUUGUUUUUUUAAUUAUGAGCAUGCAAAUAAAAUCGGAAACGAGUUGCAGAAAAGAAAAAUAUGUAUUUUUGCAUUGAAUCAUAACAGAUAAAUUUUGCUUUAAUUGAAAUAGUUUGGCUGAAAUUGUCGUAAAUCAAUGAAUACCGAUUAUUUUAGCCACAAAGCCUGACUCAAAAUGAAAUAGGCACAAAAAGUAGGAAGAUAUAUUAACACAAAAGGUUAUAUUUACUCCUUAAAGUACAAAAUAAAUAAAUAACUGAUAUGUUUGUUUGUUUUUAAAUAUUGGUUGCAUGGAGGUUUAUCGGUUAGCACCUAAAUAUGUUUGUGCAGCAUUUAAUAGUCUAUGCAGGGAAAAAAAAAGUUCUGUCAUCAGAAACGUUUACUAUUAUAUCAUCUGCAACAUCAUAUUUUUGGAUUCUCCUAGAAAAGCUCAAUUUUUUUUUAAUUUUCUCUAGGUGAUGGGAAAGUAUGUUGAUAGUCCCGAAAUAAACAGUAUACGAUUUUAAACAUUCUUUUUUAGCAAAAUGUUUACCACUUAAUGUACUCUGAGACCUUGGUAUGAAUGAGUCAUGUUAGAAAAACUGAGUUUUUAACAUGUUCUUGUGGCAUUUUUCCAAUGAAAGAUGACAUAUAUGUUGAGAAAAUGUAGCUCAAAAGGAUUAUUUCUUUAUUCAAAUCGUAAAUCAGGAGGUGACGAAAAAAAUGCCAUUGGAAAAAGAGAUUAUUUGUGACGUCGAAAAUACGCUAGGCAUGCCACAAGUUCCUGGCUCCGCCCUUUUUUUGAUGCAUCCGAUUGUAGACGGCCAGAUCCACGUACGUCUUUGUUUUCCUCAUCUGAGCUGGAAUCUGGAUCUAAACUGUACGGCUGGAAGGCUCCAAUGUUGCUCGCCAUUUUUGGAGGAUAGCAUGUAAACAGAGAGCUAUCAGCAACGAGGAGGGGGAGGGGGGCUGGGGUUGCUCUGUAUCAACGGAAAACAAUCUUCAGAAAAAGAUCUUCAUCAACCUCAAGUGCUACAGGAAGAUUGUUUCUUUGCAACCCUUUCAAGUUAAACCUAUUAUACCUGUUUAGGUUUUAUUUUAUUUUUUACUUUAUUUACCAUGUUGUUGUUAGGAAGAAAAGUGGAAAAGGGGCAAACACUUUUCUACCUAUUUUGGACGUUUGUCACACAUUAAAAUGUUGUAGAUGGUCAAAUUUUUGUGAUAUUACACAAAGAUUGCUUCAGUUAGUUAAAACAAUUUUUCAACAACUCAGUUUUGUAGGGGGAAAUGGCCACUCGGCUAAAAAUAAAGUGUAAUUUUCUUCUAAUUUGGUUUCCUACCUUUUUUUAUAUUUUCAAUUGAGUGGCACUCCUGGUCUAUAAAUAGGAAGUCAAGUCACAAAACCCAUAGCUAAGAAUUAAAUCUAUUCAUAACACAAUAUAAUGCACAAUAAUUAUAUUACUGUUAUUGCACAGCUGGGAUCUUAAGCCUGAACCUUCAUGGUUUUCUAGAACCAAAGUUAGCAACUAUGCCUAAGUUUUUCUAUGAAGAAUUAAUGCUGAGAAAUGCUGGAUCCCUUGUUUUAUUGUUUAAUGUAUAAAGAUUUCACCUGAAAUCUUCUAUUUUCUUCUCCUCGUGUGUUUAUCAGAAGCUUAUGGAUUCAAACAUUAUCCAACAUGACAAACAAGAAAAAAUGAGAGGUGGAUUCCCAGGCCAAAGCGUUCACCUCAUAGAUUAUGGUAAAAAUUAAAAAUAAAAAGUAACCCUGAAGAAGGCAAAAGUGUCUUAUUUUUGCCAACUCAGCUGAAAUUACACAAGUUGAGGCCUAGCAGGGAACUUGUUCCUCUCGCACAGCAAGUUGGGGUGUAACUCCGCUUGACUCACCGUGGUGAAAAGGUGAUAAUCUGAGAGGUAAUUUCUCCUUCACCAGAUUCACCUCAGUGGAAGCAGCUGGACAAAGUUCAGCACGUAUAAAAAAAAAAAUCUAUUUAUUUGGAGCGAUAGUGAAACUCGGCAGGACUGAGUUGCUGACUCAUCCAGGAAGUUAUCAAAAAAACAAAAACAAAUAGUAUGUAAAGAACUGCAGGCCUCACUAUUGACUUUUUUGUCAAUAAGUUUUACCAAAUAAAAAAAAUAAAAAUAAGUAAAGACAACAAUCAAUAAGAUUAAGAAGCACUGACUCUGCCAAUCAAAAGGAUCACAGUAUCUAGAUUAUUCCUGAGGUUGCAGGAGACAAUAGUUUGUGAAUGAUGUUCUGUGCAUGAGGUAGAAGUAAACUGUUGCUGUUUGCAUUAAGCGUCUCAUGAAUUCCCAGGAGGAAAUCGCAAUCACAGUCGCUCACAGGGGACGCGUUCAGGGACGCUUUCUACCUGAAAUUUCCAAAGAAGAACAUCGCCAUCAAUUAAUCAUGCUGGAAUAAAGUUGCCUUAAACCAGGGAUUUUUAACCUAUUUUCGAGCCACAGAACGGUUCAAUAAUUUAUAUUUAUAAGGCCGAAGAGGGGGUGCGAUUUUUUAUUUAAACUUCCAGUUUCGUCUUAACUCUUGAGGGUAAAGUUUAUCUUCAUCCUCUGUAAAAAAAAUCUCUGUUGCUGCUUUAAACCUCACCUGUACACUAGAUUUUGUGUAGGAACCGUCAACAUUUUACCGUCAAAGUGGAAGUCAAUAAAUAAAUAAAUAAAUGAAACCUCGUCUGACUUCCCACUAGACAAAGGUAAGCGAUUCCCUGGGCCCCUGACACCUGAACACUUGAAAAAUUAUUUCCAUGCCCAUCAUUAUUUGACUCUGUCAAAAAAUAAAAUAAAAUAAAAACUACAAUGUGAAAGUGUUUUAACUCUCCCCAUCUGCCUCCAGAAAUGUAAUAUUCCAAAAAUGGAAUAACAGCAAAUUAGCGAACAGAAAGAGACUCUUAAAAGGGAUUUUUUUUUUAAACAUGGUAAGAUGAGGCAUGGGUGAAAAUGAUCACUAUAGUGUUGAUGCCAUAAAAAAAACAAUCUCACUCAAAAUACUAACAAUGUAAGUUAAACAGCAACAAAACUGAUGUGCAGGAAGAAAGACAGAACAGGAAAAAGAAGAAGAGAACAGGGAAAGAUUUUUAAAAAAAUAAUGCAUUCAACCUAUGUGGAAGGCCCCCAUGCUAAUGUCCACCUGGGGCCCACCAAUCUGUUAAGUCCGGCCCUGCUUUUAAGCUGUGACAGAUACAUAGAAGGAGAAAAACCUCUGACUAAAACUGGUAUUUUCUAAAUAUUAAACAUGAAUAAGCAGUUUGAGCAGCAUUAUUAGAUACGUCUUUGUAACAUUAAUCACAUGCUUGACUAUUAUGGUGUGUGGGAACAACUGUGGCAAUAAAUAAAUCUAAAUUUGGGGUAAAGAAUCCUGUCUGUUAAAUGCACAUUACCUUUAUUUACUUCUUAUGAAGUCAAAGGCUCUUCUGUUUCCUCACUGGCUCCUUUAUUGUGAAAAGAAACUUUCAGAUUAUUUUUUUUUCUGUCAACUUUGUUACCUUGGGGGUUUCAUUGUAAGGGUUGGCGCAGUCGCAUUAAGAAAGUAGCAGCUGUAUUUUCGACACGUGACAAGCCACUUGAUGUGUGUCAAGAAUGACUUGGAUGUUGGAGAGAAAAUCCAGUCGUUUUUUAUCAAAAUAAAACCAAAUCCGAUUAUACAUAAAAUGGGAAAAAUGUAGGUUGUGUUUUAAUUCCCCCCCUCCAAUUACAGACUCAGAGGCUGGUCAGUUACGGCACUUUCUAGUUUAGGAAGCAGCAGUGAUAACAAAUUAAACCAUCAUAGAUGCAUGUCUGUCCAUGACAAACUGCAUCCACUGCUGAGCGGUGCAAAUAUCCUUUUAGAAUCAGGAACGAUGAACAACUCUGCCGUCUUUUGUAGCUUAAAAAAGACACAGCUCUGACAUCUUCUUUUUUAACCAGAACGUCUUUCAAAAUAAACCAGAUUAAUGCUGAGACAGCAGACCAACCCUUAUCACAUUCUGGAAUUUCCUGACAUAAAUGUCCUUUAAAAUAAACAUCGUUUCAGGGAGUGUGGAGGGAGCAAAACAGAGUCAACUAAGAUCUGACCUAAACUAUUGUGAAUAUGUGACAUCAGGGUAAAAGCUCUAAGUACACUUUUACUGGGAGAUCCUCCAUCGUGGUACAGCUGAGGUUUUUUCUUCAUUUUUAAACAAAUUGACAAAAACAUGCUGAGUAGAACUAUAAUAAGUGGUUGAUGAAUUAGUCACUUAAAUUCACAUGGAUGCUCUUUGUCCUUAUGAUGUUUAGAUUAUGUCACACUUGAUUUGUCGAGUUUUUCUUGUUAUGCACUGCAUAAAAACGUCCUUCUUAAAACAGGUUAAGAAAAAACUCAAUGUUUUUAUCUUUUUAUAGGUGAAAAAAAUCUGCCAAUAGAUCUACUGUAGAAUUUGUCUGGGUGAGAUUUAAUCCAAGAAAAAUGUUAAGUGCCCUUUUAAGACAAAAUUGAAUCUUGAAAUUGGCUACAAACAUUUAUCUUUAAGUAUAUUGCUCUGAUA